UUAGGAAAACUCCAUUUCAACGCCUUCAACAGAUAUCAUUUUCAACUCCCAUUCACGCAUAAAAUUAACUUUGAUUUCUUCCAGAUGAGUAAUAAGGGACUUAGCAGCAUCAACAAUAACCUGCUUUGGAGAACAAUCUUCUACGGUUUGUACACGAAGUAUGAAAUUGUGAUUUAAUGGAUGAGGAACUUUGUAACCAGCAAAAAGAACCCUUUCGUCAGAUAGGAGUUGACUUCGAAAAAGCAGUUAGAAAAGAAAAAAAAAUUUAGAAGUCUUACUUUGCAAGCAUAUUAGCCAAUGUAUGAUCCUCUUUUUCAAGAGUAACUACUGCGGCAUUAGGUGAUUUGCUAUCGAGCUCAUAUGUGACUCUACACUGGUUAAUGCAAUUCCUUGUAAAAUUGUUUAUUCCUUACUUGGGGAGUCCCAUAAGCUCAAUGAGCUCAUACCGUUCUGGCUGAUUCAUUAUGCCAACGUUUUCAGCCGACUAGCUGAAGAAGAAGUAAGAUGUUGAUGCUUACGAGGGUUUUGUCCACGUUCUGUACAUUAAGCAUCACUAUAAAUCGUAAUGCCAUUUAACAAAAGCUUUAACACUUUAUUCCACAACUCAUCGUAUUUCGUUAUAAAUAACGCGAACGUGAACGGACACUUAAUAUAUAUUUAUCUGUUGGAAAUCGGCUCAAACG
This is a non-coding RNA of Schizosaccharomyces pombe (fission yeast), 683 nucleotides long. The record is from the annotation of a GenBank genome assembly. NCBI's taxonomy places the organism in Eukaryota, Fungi, Ascomycota, Schizosaccharomycetes, Schizosaccharomycetales, Schizosaccharomycetaceae.